Molecule: non-coding RNA, 206 nt
Filed under: Robbsia andropogonis
Lineage: Bacteria; Pseudomonadati; Pseudomonadota; Betaproteobacteria; Burkholderiales; Burkholderiaceae
Description: Burkholderia andropogonis FMN sequence
Rfam family: FMN riboswitch aptamer (RFN element)
About the family: The RFN element is a highly conserved domain that is found frequently in the 5'-untranslated regions of prokaryotic mRNAs that encode for flavin mononucleotide (FMN) biosynthesis and transport proteins.
Source: Rfam by way of RNAcentral
AAGUGCUCUCGGGGCGGGGUGAGAUUCCCCACCGGCGGUGAUGAUGUGGUUAAGGUGACCGGUGUCGAUUCGGACCUAGUGUCUGGCUGAUGAUAUCGAUAGCCGCCGCAUCCAGCCCGCGAGCGCCUGGCGAUGACAUCUCCAGGGUCAGCAGAUCCGGUGUGAUUCCGGGGCCGACGGUAUAGUCCGGAUGAAAGAGAGAAGCG